AGCUUUGCGCAGUGGCAGUAUCGUAGCCAAUGAGGUUUAUCCGAGGCGCGAUUAUUGCUAAUUGAAGUAGUCGAUAUACUGCUGCAUGAUCUGAUAUGAAUGUUGCCUUUUUCUUUUAAAUUUGUCAUGUUUUAUAUCA
Lutra lutra (Eurasian river otter) is the source of this 139-nucleotide small nuclear RNA. RefSeq annotates it as U4 spliceosomal RNA. The record is from RefSeq and is a predicted model, not a curated record. The transcript has a single exon. NCBI's taxonomy places the organism in Eukaryota, Metazoa, Chordata, Mammalia, Carnivora, Mustelidae.